Molecule: non-coding RNA, 542 nt
Organism: Hirundo rustica (Barn swallow)
Lineage: Eukaryota; Metazoa; Chordata; Aves; Passeriformes; Hirundinidae
Source: the annotation of a RefSeq genome assembly
CAGCAAACACGCAGCUUGCUCUCGCCAUGCACCUCGCCUGUCUCAUCCUCACCGUCUUCCUGGGACAGCUCCUGGGCACCACGGGGCAGGUCACAGUCACCCAGGAAGAUGGACCAGUCAUGGUGAAGCAGGGACACACCUUCCAGACCACCUGCAAAUACCAGACCAGUAAUUUUUAUGGCUUGCUCUGGUAUAAGCUGCAGAAAGGCCAAGCCCCACAGCUGGUCUCCUAUCAAGCAGUGCCUGGCUCCAAGCGCAGCGGCCAUAUCACCACGCACCUGAACACCACGGGGAAAUCCAGUGUCCUGCAGGUGGAGGAAGUGCAGGGCUCUGACACUGCCUUGUACCUCUGUGCUGUGCAAGACACCCUGCUGCAGGGAGCUUCCUCAGCUGUGCAACAACCCAGGGGAGGGAGGGGAUGUGUCUGGGCCACGCUGAGAUGUGUGCAUGGUGGAUCUGUUUUCGAUUCCGUGACGGUGAUGUGUGGGAUGGGACACGGCUGUCUCUUGGCCCUGGCGAUGCCGAAAUUGUUGCGUGUCUGA